This 25-nucleotide transfer RNA is filed under the name Lankesteriana barbulata. RNAcentral's name for it is "partial tRNA-Gly". The record is from RNAcentral. Lineage: Eukaryota; Viridiplantae; Streptophyta; Magnoliopsida; Asparagales; Orchidaceae.
GCGGCACUAUGGUCAAAUGGUAAAA